GACGAACGCUGGCGGCGUGCUUAACACAUGCAAGUCGAACGGAAAGGCCCUGCUUUUGUGGGGUGCUCGAGUGGCGAACGGGUGAGUAACACGUGAGUAACCUGCCCUUGCCUUUGGGAUAACUUCAGGAAACUGGGGCUAAUACCGGAUAGGAGCUCCUGCUGCAUGGUGGGGGUUGGAAAGUUUCGGCGGUUGGGGAUGGACUCGCGGCUUAUCAGCUUGUUGGUGGGGUAGUGGCUUACCAAGGCUUUGACGGGUAGCCGGCCUGAGAGGGUGACCGGCCACAUUGGGACUGAGAUACGGCCCAGACUCCUACGGGAGGCAGCAGUGGGGAAUAUUGCACAAUGGGCCGAAGCCUGAUGCAGCAACGCCGCGUGCGGGAUGACGGCCUUCGGGUUGUAAACCGCUUUCGCCUGUGACGAAGCGUGAGUGACGGUAAUGGGUAAAGAAGCACCGGCUAACUACGUG
Molecule: ribosomal RNA, 468 nt
Filed under: uncultured bacterium
Lineage: Bacteria
Description: partial 16S ribosomal RNA
Rfam family: Bacterial small subunit ribosomal RNA
Source: RNAcentral